Apis mellifera (honey bee) is the source of this 5527-nucleotide long non-coding RNA. RefSeq lists it as uncharacterized. The transcript is spliced from 2 exons. Lineage: Eukaryota; Metazoa; Arthropoda; Insecta; Hymenoptera; Apidae. The record is from RefSeq and is a predicted model, not a curated record.
AGUGUCGCUAGUUGACCGUUCGCCGAACCGAGUCGAAACGCAUGCGCGUUGCGUGAAAAGUGUUCGUUUCGUCGUGCGUCACAGAGAAGAAAAAGGGAGGAGAUUACUUUCCGUGUACAACCCGGUGUAUAUACCCAACGAAUCCAACGUUUGUUUGAGACAAAGUCAGGGUUAAAGCGAGGCUGAGUCUGUGGAAGCAGGGCGUAGCGAGGUUGGCGAAGCCAAGACAGCGAGCGAGCGAGCGAGGGUAUGGGGUGAGCGGAGGAGAGAAAGACGAGGCGAGGCGACGUGAGGCGAGGCGAAGCGAGGUGAGACGAGGGGUGGGGAGAGAAACGGCACAGGAUACGUUCGUUCGGUACGAACGAACGGUACGGAACGGAACGGAACGGAACGGAACGGAACUGUGCACCGUGCGACUUGUGUGUGUUGUGUGUGUGUUGUGUGUUUGUGUGUAUACGCCGAAGGAGAGAAGUGAAGUGAAGUGAAGAGGAGAGGAGAGAGAAAGACAGAGAGAGAGAGAGCCAGGUCGAGAUAUGCCCUGCCUACGGGUGCAACGACCCCGGUGACCUUUGUCCGGUCCGUGCUCCGGCCUGGCCCCGCUCGAUUCCACCGUCUCCUACCUCCAGGAGGGACGACGAUGCGCAUCAACCUACCACCGGCCAAUCUUCUUCCCGCUCGCCUUUCUAACCUGUGCCCGGUGUCGGCGAGAAUCGGCGAUCGCCAGCAACGGGCUGCUCGAGCCUCUCGCGCCUUGCCAAAGGAUUUGCACGAUGAAAUUUUCGUUAACCGAUUGACGGGGCCAGGAUGGGGGCUCCUUGCGAGGAGAGGAGUAGCAGUCGAGAAUUGACGCCUCUCUCUCUCUCUCUCUCUCUCUUUAUGCAGAAUUAUAUAUAGUGGAAUAUAUGUUAUUAUUGGAGGUGGAGAAUAAAAUGUAGGUUAGGAAGCGAUCGAAAGUGAAUUUCUCGACAAAAAUUUAGGAAUAAUUGUGAUGGAUUAUUUGAAGUAAUUGGAAUUAUUGUUCUCGAGACAUAGGAAUUUCGAUUGUUUGAAAUAAUUGAAAUUAAGAAAUAGUAAUCGAGAUUUAAGUUGUAUAGGUUAGGUAAUAAUCGAAAGUAAGAAUUACGAUGCUCUCGUAAGUAAAAGGUGGAUUGUUCGAAGUAAUUGAAAUUAAGAAGUAGUUUUCGAAAUUUGGAAAUAAGUUUGCAAUAAUAAUAAUAGUAUAAUAAUUUGAUAGUUCUCGAAACAUGGUUGUAAUUAUAAAAGAGCGUGGAUUGUUCGAAGUAAUUAAAAUUAAAAAGUAGUUUAGACUUGGGUUGUAUAGGUUAGGAAAUGAUUGAAAAUAAGAAAUAAAACUUAGGAAUAAGUUUGCAAUUAAAAUUAAGAAAUAGCUUUCUAGAAACUUUGGAUUUUGAAAUUAAUUGAAUUUGAUAUAAUAAUAAAUAAAAAUAAGUUUGCAAUCGAAUAUAAUAAGAACUUGAAUUAUUCGAGGUAAUUGAAAUUAAAAAGUAGUUAUCGAUGCUCUCCAAUAUGUGAUAGAACAAUAGAAAAUUGGGGAGAAAUUUUUAAAAAAAAUUACCGAUCGUCAAAUUGCACUUCAAAUCAUAUUUCGAUAUCCAACUUCAAUUCUUCCUUUCUCCAAUGGAAAACUAGCUCAACGAUCCGUACAAUGGAAUUCGUAAUGAGAUAAAAAAGAUGAAGAUUCCGCUCCCCGCUAUUUUAAAUGCUCGUCCUCUACCCCCCCCCCCCUCCCCUGGAAGUACGAGAGUACGCGGUUUGAAUAUAAAUUCCUUCCAAUUAACCAAUUUUUCACGGAGAAUAUGUUGUUACCGAGUGUAUAUAGCUGUAGAUUUAGAUACACGGAAACGGGAUUUUCUUGUUGUUAUUAAUGGGCCGCGCCGUUCGGAAACUUGGUCGAUUGAACUCGAUUAAACUCGGCAACUUUCGGAUUCGCGCGCACUCGGAAGAAUCAAAGAUGACGUACAAUGGGCCAUUACGGCCGAAAGCCGAAACCUCAUAUCCAUUGUAUCCAUCGACUUGAAACAAGAAUUUCUCUCCCCUCUCUCCGCCCGUGUUAUUUGAACGAAGAGUUAAAAAUAAUGGACCAUUAUAUUAUCCUACGAAGCUACCUCUUGUCCAUUGUGCAACUCUCUGUACACAAAGAAGAGCGGAGGAAAAAUCUACUCUUAUUCGAGGUUAAAAAACGACGUUUCAACGAGCCACUGUAAAUAAGAAUAAUAUCAAACGUUUAUAUAUAUAUGUAUAUAUAUAUAUACAUUUCUUGUAUAUGUAUAUAUCGUCCCUACGAGAUCUCGAAAAACAUUUCUUGCCUCGGCGACCGUUGUUGUUGUUAUUAUUAUUAUUAUUAUUAUUACUUCUAGCUAUAUUUAGAAGAUGGAUCGCGAGCCGUUGGUUGAAGGUUGUCGGAUCUAGGAUCUAGUUCUCACGCGGGACGUGAAGGAGGAAAAUAAUCGUCGCGAUGGCGAGGUUUUACCCGUGAAAGUGUAUCCCAUCCCCAGUGGAGGGGAAGGACGGGUCAUCUUUCGAGGAUCCUCCAUCGAUUUUUUCGGUUAUACGUCGAAGAUGAUUCUUCGUAUUUAUAUAUAUAGAACUCGAGUUUGUGAAGCAAAGGAGGAUAGUUUGAUUAAUUGUUCGCUACGCGGCGCUGUUCGAGCGCUGUCUUCGCCUAUUUCGUCCAAUUCUGGAUGGAGCUUGGACGACUUUUAACCACCGUUCUUAUCGAUCUUCUCGACAAAACUCUUGUUCGCAAUUUUUUUUUAAUCCCUCGCCUCGGAGAUUUCGGAAUUUUCGAGAAUUCUCGUUGAUUCUGCAUCGACUUCUGCAAGAUAUGGGAAAUCUGCGCGAUCAAGAGAAAGGGAGGAAAAUCGCGUUUUAAGCGUUUAAGCGUUUUCGCGUUUGUAAUCGUUUCGGAUAAAAUGGUGGAAUCAUCGCUCUCUUCCUCCGUUUCUUGUUAUUCGAUGAAUGAGAAGAAAGUAGAUUUCACGUAGAUUUUUUUUUUUUUUUUUUUGAGAAAUUAUAUAGAAGUUUAGUGAAAUGAUAUCUCGAAAGAAGAUUUUCACGCCAAAUUUUUAUUUCGUUCGCGACAGAUAAAUUCCAUAGACAGAACUAAAUUAUAUUCUAAAAUUUCGUCGAUAAUAAUAACGUUAAACAAAAUGGCGGAUUAAUCUUUUCCCUCGUCGCUUACAGGACGAAAGUAGAUUUAUGGAUUUUGAGAAAUUAUAUUAUUUGUUAAAAAGAAAGUUUAAUUCUGUUGAAAAAAAAGAUUUUUUUAUUUUAUUUUUCGAAUUUAUUUCUCCAUUUAUAUCGCGAUCGAAGUAAAGUAAAAGCAAGAAUUAAUCCGCCAUUUUGUUCAGCGUUAUUUAUAGGUGAAAUUUUAGAAAUUACGACGCACACAUAAAAAAAAGUGUAUUUAUGGAAUUUAUCCGAGCUCCAUCUCUCGUGAAAAUAAAUUUUAAAAAUCUUUCGAACACGUCCUGUUUUUAGCAGGAUUGAAAAAAAGAAUUAAUCCGCCAUUUUGCUCAGCGUUGAUACGCACGGUUGAUAAAUAAACAUGCAUUUACGGAAUUUAUUUAUUCGAGCUCCAUCUCCCGUGAAGAUAAAUCCUGAAAUUUUUACCACUAGACUUUACCUCGAUAUAAUUUCUCGAAAUUUGAAAUCUCCUUUCUUCCAUUCCCCAAAAAUAACCAAACGGAAUCAAUCCUCCAUUUUGUUUCAACCGUUAAUGCCGUUUAACCAUUAUGCGCGCGAAUUAUGCGCACGAAGCGAUAAGUGAAAUACUAAGCGCAUGCAUUUACUAACUCCAUCUAUCGUGAAAACAAAUCUUGAAAAGUCUCGAAAUAUUUCGCACGAAACUUCUGAAAUUUUUCAAUGUAUAAUAAACCAUAUCGAUUUAAUUACAGUUACUCGUGAAAUGUUAGAAAUUAUAUAGUAGAUCACAUCAGUAAUCGUUCAGAAUUAGAGCGAAUACGAUUCGACGUUGAGCAUUGACUCGAUCUGUGGAUUCGUAGGAGCCGAUGUGCCAAGAAUUCUUCGGGAAAGAAGUGCGGAUAGAUGGAGCCGCGCACGAUACAGGAGAGCGAAGGAUCGUAGGAGCGGAAGGGAAGAAGGUAGAAAAUUAUAUCACACGGCAUCUCUCGGCUCUCUUCUCUACGUAACGCGCAUACGUAAUGAGGAAACGAACGACCGGCCGAACGAGAGCGCGCGCAUGCCGCGCUUCCCUUUCCACUCCUCCUUCCCCCUCCCCGCCCCUUACCUAUCCUUCGCUCCUAGGCCGCGUCACCAUUCGUUUUCAUCCUCGCGGGCCGUGAAACGAACGCUGCGAAGCGAGCGCGAUCGUUUCCUCCCGUUAACGAGAGAGUCGGCCGUGGGAUCUCGGGAAAAAGAUUUUCGAGAAAAAUUCCCUUGCAUAUGUAUAUGGCGUAUAUGUGGUGCAAGUAGUUUUUUUAAUUUGUUCGAUUGGAAUUUUGAGAAAAAUUAAUUUAAUCCUCGAUGAUUUUUUUUUUCUUCGCGGAAAAGAUUUCUCGAGAAUUUUGAAACGUGAAAUUUAUAAAAUUAUAAAUUUCAAUCUUUUCUAUAAUUCAAGAUAGAAUUUUGGAUUUUAAGAUGUUAAGAUGUAAAUUUGAGAAAAAAUUUAUCGAUUCAAUAUUAUCAAUUUCAAUCUUCUCUAAUUUCCCUUUAUCGAAACGAGUGGAACUCAAAAUUCUUCUCUACGACAAUAUUCGUGGAUGGAAUUUUGUCUAAAAAAUACGAAAGUUUCAAUCCUGUUUAAUUUUUCUGAAUUUAAAAAAAAAAACUUCUCUAAUCUUUCUCUAAUAAUCUCUUAACAUUUCAUCGAAAUAAGAAAUAAGCAAGAAUAUAGAAAAUAAUAUAUUGUUUAUUACAUAAUUAUAUUAUCACAUAAAUUAGGCGAGCAAGAAUAUAGAAAGAAAAGAAGAACUGGAAAUUCACAACACUUGUUUGUUACUUUUGCCGAGGAAAAAAAGAUAAACAAAUAAAUCAUCAUUGCGAAGCAAAUUAAAUAUUAAGAUAAAAGGCGAAUGUACAAUAUAUAUAUAUACUCGCGGUUUCUUGGCGCGGUUUCGUAAUCUCUCGAACCGUCUUUCAAAUAAAAAUAUAUCUCGCUCGACGCGAAAGAUUAUUACGCUUAAUAGCUCUUUUUUUUGCCGGCUCGGUCUCGCUUAGAAAAAGGAAAAACCUAUAUAUAUAUAUAUAUAUAUAUAUAUAUAUAUAUAUAUAUAUAUAAAAGGCCAUGUUCUCGAUAUACCCGUUGGCCGUGAAGUUUUUCACCAUGUCACGUAUAUCAUAGAUCAACAACGACCAACUUUAUUCCACGUAAUUCCGCGACAAAAACUGCGUUUAUGCGCAGGUUUUUUUCUCCCCUCCCCUCCCUCCUUACCCACGUCUUGCGAAGAUAUCUAUGUCUGGCGACAAUUUUUUCCAACGAGUUUAUCGUUUAAAACGUUGCAACGUUGCAAAUCUUCAGGGAAGAAAAAAAAAAAAAAAAGAAAAA